Telopea speciosissima is the source of this 427-nucleotide long non-coding RNA. RefSeq lists it as uncharacterized. The transcript is spliced from 2 exons. The record is from RefSeq and is a predicted model, not a curated record. NCBI's taxonomy places the organism in Eukaryota, Viridiplantae, Streptophyta, Magnoliopsida, Proteales, Proteaceae.
AAGUUUUCGAUCAAGUGCUCCAAUCCUUUGGAGAUGGUUUUGAAUCUAUCCUAUGGAGCUGUACAUGGUAGACUAAGGCACUCUGUUACAGAAACUGUCUAGACACCCCAGCUUUCACAAGCUGAUCAGCAAGCUAUUAGCCAAUCUCUAUCUCCACUUAAAACAGAUGUUACAGUUGCACAGAGGAGCCUGCUUCUCCAAAUCAAGUGAAGGUAUCUUCACAGGCUACUAGAGUUUGAACUUAACCACUUGAAGAUCAAGCCUGCAUCUUGCUCAAGAAUUAACAGUUUUUAUGUACUCUGUCCAUACUUCUUGGAUUUGUGGUUUGAAAUGAUACACAGGUAUGGAGAACAGUGUACAACUUUUGAAUUUCAAUGAGAUAUACUCUUUCUGUUUUUAUAAUUUUUUCUUCUUUGUUUAUAAAAGG